CUGGGGGCCCACUGAGCCAGGUCGGGCCUUGUCCUGAGCCGGGGCCCUGUAGAUCAGCGUGUCUUCCCGCCGUUGCGGCCUGGGGUGCUCAAAUCCGGCUCCAGGGAUACUCUGGCCGCCCCAGCUCUGGAUUCUGGAGAUCGGGGCGGAAAGUGGGUAGAGGCAGAAAUUUCCAGUUCGGGCUCGGCAGCGCCCCUCUCUAACGCGUCAUCCCGUUUUACAAGAAAGAACCCUUCUGUUGCGUAGGCGACCAACCUGGCUGCGGCCCACUGUGCACAAGUUCUCCGUGGCGCAAAAUUCUACCGACUUUCUCCCUACGUUCUCGAAUUUCCGCGUACCUUGAGCAACUGAGCAACGCUCGCCUGGGAAGGGCAGCCCGGAUUGGACCCACAGGCCAUAAACAAGCAGCCGCCGCUGGUGGCCCGCGUGGGUAGGGACACAAGCCUCAGGACUGGGACCUCAUGCUUCUUGCUCACUGCUGUCACCUCUGACUCUGGAGAGCAUCGACUGACUGCUAUGAAUGGUCCAUCCAGUGGCCUGACUCGUGGCAGCCAACGCGUGAACAACCAGUCAUGUGCCAGGCUCUGCUCUAGGCAGAGGUUCAGAGGCGAACAGGACAGACAAGCUUCCCGCCCCCCUCCACCUCCUGGAGGAGGUUUACAUUCUGUUGGGAGUGCCGACAAUAAACAAAGAAACUAACAAUAAGCAAUAUUCCUGCCUUCGUGGAUCUUACCUUCCAGUAAAGCCAUGAGCCCCAACCUUACGUUUGUUAGUGAUUCAUUUGCUAAUUGGUUAAACAAUUACAUUCAACAAACCCUGCCUGAGCACCCUCUACGGACCUCUGUGAGGUGUGGGGAUAAACAGACUGUGUUUACAGUAAGUCUGGGUUCAGUGAAGGAGAGUCAAGGAGAACCGUAAGACAGCUGAGUAAGUCCUCGACAAGAGGGAUGCCUGGAGUUGCUAUGAGAGGAAGGGACCCCCAGCUCACUCUGGAACCACUGGAGGGCUGAAUUGAUUUCUGCCUACAACUGUUAUUUAUAGUCAGAAAAUGCAAAAACAUAUAUGCAGAGGUUUUAAAAGGAUGGCUGUUUGGUUUCUCGUCUUCUAACUCAUAGGAUACUGUGAAGUUGUUCUUGUGCAGCAGAAUCAGCUGGAGAGCUUGUUAACAACACACACUGGUGAGUCCUGUCCUCAGGGAUUCUGAUUCAGAAGGUCUGCAGUGGGCCCAGUAAUAUGCACUUUUUAAAAAGUUUUAUUAUUAAAAAAGUUCAAAUAAAUGUAAACGAAGAGGGAGUAAUACAAUGAACCUCCAUGGAACCAUAAAGUAGCUUCAAUGAAUAUCAACAUGUGACCAGUGUUGUUUCAUCUAUAAUUCCACCCUAUUAUCCGCCCCGCAACCCCAUGCACAGGUUAAUUUCAAAGCAAAUUCCAGACAUCACAUACUUUCAUCCAUAAAUACUCCUAGUCUAUAUCUCUAAAAUAGAUUUUUUUUUAAAUCACUAUCAUAUUACCAUUAGCACAGCUAAACAUCAACAACAAUUCCAUAACCAUAAAAAAUUUACAGUUCAAAUUUGCCUUAUUGUCUGAUAACUUUUUUAAAAGUUGGUUUGCAGGGGCUGGCCCUGUGGCUGGGUGGUUAAGUUUGCACACU
This is a non-coding RNA of Equus caballus (horse), 1651 nucleotides long. The record is from RefSeq and is a predicted model, not a curated record. Lineage: Eukaryota; Metazoa; Chordata; Mammalia; Perissodactyla; Equidae.